RNAcentral lists this ribosomal RNA (545 nucleotides) under Isoptericola sp. MBCC40106. Its description in RNAcentral is "bacterial SSU rRNA". It matches the Rfam family "Bacterial small subunit ribosomal RNA", at positions 68 to 626 of the family's 1533-position model. Lineage: Bacteria; Bacillati; Actinomycetota; Actinomycetes; Micrococcales; Promicromonosporaceae. The record is from RNAcentral.
UGAAGUCCCAGCUUGCUGGGAUGGAUCAGUGGCGAACGGGUGAGUAACACGUGAGCAACCUGCCCUCCACUUCGGGAUAAGCCUUGGAAACGGGGUCUAAUACCGGAUAUGAGCUUCCGUCGCAUGGCGGGGGUUGGAAAGUUUUUCGGUGGGGGAUGGGCUCGCGGCCUAUCAGCUUGUUGGUGGGGUGAUGGCCUACCAAGGUCGUCGACGGGUAGCCGGCCUGAGAGGGCGACCGGCCACACUGGGACUGAGACACGGCCCAGACUCCUACGGGAGGCAGCAGUGGGGAAUAUUGCACAAUGGGCGCAAGCCUGAUGCAGCGACGCCGCGUGAGGGAUGACGGCCUUCGGGUUGUAAACCUCUUUCAGCAGGGAAGAAGCGCAAGUGACGGUACCUGCAGAAGAAGCGCCGGCUAACUACGUGCCAGCAGCCGCGGUAAUACGUAGGGCGCAAGCGUUGUCCGGAAUUAUUGGGCGUAAAGAGCUCGUAGGCGGUCUGUCGCGUCUGUUGUGAAAUCCCGAGGCUCAACCUCGGGCUUGCAU